GGAGGAAGGUGGGGAUGACGUCAAAUCAUCAUGCCCCUUAUGACCUGGGCUACACACGUGCUACAAUGGGCGGUACAAAGGGUCGCGAACCGCGAGGGGGAGCCAAUCCCAAAAAGCCGCUCUCAGUUCGGAUUGCAGGCUGCAACUCGCCUGCAUGAAGCCGGAAUCGCUAGUAAUCGCGGAUCAGCAUGCCGCGGUGAAUACGUUCCCGGGCCUU
RNAcentral lists this ribosomal RNA (217 nucleotides) under uncultured Anoxybacillus sp. RNAcentral describes it as "partial 16S ribosomal RNA". It matches the Rfam family "Bacterial small subunit ribosomal RNA", at positions 1165 to 1382 of the family's 1533-position model. The record is from RNAcentral. Lineage: Bacteria; Bacillati; Bacillota; Bacilli; Caryophanales; Anoxybacillaceae.